Molecule: non-coding RNA, 69 nt
Organism: Rattus norvegicus (Norway rat)
Lineage: Eukaryota; Metazoa; Chordata; Mammalia; Rodentia; Muridae
Source: Rfam
GGGGAUUUAGCUCAGUGGUAGAGCGCUUGCCUAGGAAAUGCAAGGCCCUGGGUUCGGUCCCCAGCUCCG